Long non-coding RNA from Symphalangus syndactylus (siamang), 408 nucleotides. RefSeq lists it as uncharacterized. The record is from RefSeq and is a predicted model, not a curated record. Lineage: Eukaryota; Metazoa; Chordata; Mammalia; Primates; Hylobatidae.
UGGAGGACACUCCAUCUAUCCUGGGCAAAUUUCUUGAGCCUUGCAGACUGGCUUACAAUGUGUCACAGGCUUCUGUUGUCUUGCUGCCUACCUGUAAGUAGUAAAAAGUCUCUUCAUGCAGCUUGUUGUAUGCACAGGUGUUUUCUCUCACUGGACUCAAGACAAGUUGGUGACCAGGGCACAGUGAACCUGCUUCACAACAAGAGGAGAAGGAAUUCCAGUCAGGGUUUUGCUCUGUCGCCCAGGCUGGAGUGCAGUGGCACAAACAGAGUACAUUGCUGUCUAUCUUCUGGACUCAAAUGAUCUUCCCUCCUCAGCCUUCUGAGUAGCUGGGACUACAGAUGCAGAUAGAAAUAUUAGUUGUAUGAGACAUUAUUUCUUAAAGGAUGAAACAUUACACAAAAUAUA